AUAAGUUUGGAAUUUGGAAAAAUACCAAUAAAUAGAAGUUGUAGAUAAUUGAAUUAGCUUUCCAACCAUAGGUCGUGGGUUCUCAGGUGACGUCGGUACAAGGAGAUAUGGACGUUUUAAGGUCGAAAGGUCAGUGGGCUAGGCCCAACUCGGAAUCAACCGAGUUGGCCCAAAAAAAUAAAAAAACGAAUUUAGGCCCAAAAGUGAGGGUGGCCGGCCAUACCUGGCCCAACCCAUGUCACUUAAUUAAUUUUUCAUGUGAUAAAUAAGACUAGAAGGGAUCAUUAGUCUUAGAAACUUCAAGAAAAUUUGAGAAAGAGAAAAACAACAAAAAGAAGAACAAAAGCUUAAAGGCCAUACGGCCAUAGCUUGCAAAUUUUUGCCCUUUGAAAUCUUUCUCCAAAAAUUAUUUUCUUGUGGUAUUUCUACUAAUUCAAGGGUCCUUUACAACUUGGUGUAAUUAUUUUGGAAGAAAGAGCACUUGUUUCUUCAAGUUGACAACUUGGUCAAGUGAAAAAGAUUGUAGAAAAAGAUUUUGGCGAACUUGAAACUUGAUUUUAGAGACGUGUAUGAAGCGGAAAAGGUCAGCAGACAGGUGGACGUGAUCCUUAGAAGCUCUACCAGCCGCACUUGACAGCGCUCCAGUUGUUCCGGAGCCUCACUCCAGCGGUACUAUUUUAUGCAUAUACAUUCGGGCUUGGUAGCACCCCGGCCCUUUCUAUGUAUAAGUGUACUAUGUCUAGAGGCUCGUAGACAGAUACGUACAGUCAGUCAGGUACAGAUAUAUGUAUGGUGUUUUGGCAUGUUAAUAUUGUUGUACAAGGUAAUAACGGAGUUUAUUAGUUUAUGUUCAAGGAAAAAAAAAUGGCUCGGUUUACACGGCUUGCUAAGAGGUACAGGUAAUACGAUAGAUAAGGGGUGCUCGGUACAAGUAUCGGGUACUCGUCACGGCCCCUAGUCGGGUCGUGACAGUUAGAGUCAGAAGAAGACUUCAUAAUUUCUUUGUUUUGAAGACGGUCCUUCAAGGACGUCCUUGUCCUUGUCCUCCCCUCCUUCUCUUGGGAGUUUUCUGGAUCAAACAACUUGUUCUCUACAUCUUCAGAUCAUCCUUUCAGUUCAUCGAGAUGAAACGACUGGAGGGAGAUACGGUCAAGAUUCUGGUCGAGUUGUGCGGCUUGCUUUAUUUGGAUUUCUUUGGGGCUAUCAUUUGGACUUUCAUUCGAUACAAAAUCAUAUAUUGGAAGACGAUCCAAUACAAAAUCAGACAUCUCUUCUUAGUUGCUGUUUGACAUUCUGAAAAGUUUUGAGAGUUGGUUAUUUUGGAGGUGAGAAACCUCCUCCUUUCUAUAGAAGCCAUGGUCAAAAUCAUUAGGUAAAAAUAGAAAUUCAGUGUUUUCAUACAACAUGGGUUCAUUUCGGGGAAUAGAGAAGUGAAAAGGUAGAUAUAAUUAUUAUUUGGUUAUGUGAGGAUCAAAUGAAAUAAGAGCAAGAAAGGUAUGUUUGGGCUCUGUACUUGUGGGAUAGUAUCUUUGUGUUGUAGGAAUCAUUUGAACCUUUAUGUGCAUUGACUUGAGAAC
Molecule: long non-coding RNA, 1577 nt
Organism: Lycium barbarum (goji berry)
Lineage: Eukaryota; Viridiplantae; Streptophyta; Magnoliopsida; Solanales; Solanaceae
Exons: 3
Source: RefSeq, a predicted model, not a curated record